UUAAUUCGAAGCAACGCGAAGAACCUUACCUAAGCUUUACAUCCCAAUGACAUCCCCUUAACCGGAGAGUACACUUCGGGGACAUUGGUAACUGGUGGUUAAUGGUUUUCGUCAGCUCGUGUCGUGAGAUGUUGGGUUAAGUCCCGCAACGAGCGCAACCCUUGUCUUUAGUUGCCAUCAUUAAGUUGGGCACUCUAGAGAGACUGCCAGGGAUAACCUGGAGGAAGGUGGGGAUGACGUCAAAUCAUCAUGCCCCUUAUGCUUAGGGCUACACACGUGCUACAAUGGGUAGUACAGAGGGUUGCCAAGCCGUAAGGUGGAGCUAAUCCCUUAAAGCUACUCUCAGUUCGGAUUGUAGGCUGAAACUCGCCUACAUGAAGCUGGAGUUACUAGUAAUCGCAGAUCAGAAUGCUGCGGUGAAUGCGUUCCCGGGUCUUGUACACACCGCCCGUCACACCACGGGAGUUGGAGACGCCCGAAGCCGAUUAUCUAACCUUUUGGAAGAAGUCGUCGAAGGUGGAAUCAAUAACUGGGGUGAAGUCGUAACAAGGUAGCCGUAUCGGAAGGUGCGGCUGGAUCACCUCCUUUCUAAGGA
This 595-nucleotide ribosomal RNA is filed under the name Clostridioides difficile. Its description in RNAcentral is "bacterial SSU rRNA". It matches the Rfam family "Bacterial small subunit ribosomal RNA", at positions 946 to 1533 of the family's 1533-position model. Lineage: Bacteria; Bacillati; Bacillota; Clostridia; Peptostreptococcales; Peptostreptococcaceae. The record is from RNAcentral.